AAGGGUGGGAUAAACGGGACCAUUUCAAAUUUGGUAAAAUUUUUUUUCGUAAUUUUCCAGUGGACUCGAUAUAUUUUUUGCCACAUCAAAUAUAUAUGGUGUUUUCGUUACUAUAUUUACAUUUUACACGGAAAAAGAGCAGUAGAAAAAUUACAGUUUUUAGUGCAACAACACGGCUGCCCAAUUUCAAAACACAGAAAUGUGAGACUUGAACUGAUUAUAUUUAAUCUUACAACAGUACACGUGUCAUUAUCUACAAAUUACUACUUUACAUACAUGUAUAUAUGUAUAUGUAUAUCAAGAAGUUAUAGUUACAUUCUAACGAGGGCCUUGACCAAGAGACCAAAAGUAUGACACGAUUAACGCCGGCGACAAAGGCAUCAUAUAUAUUAAUAAUUAUUAUAAUUAUUGAUAAAAAAAAAUGGGUAAUGCAG
This is a long non-coding RNA of Microplitis mediator, 434 nucleotides long. RefSeq lists it as uncharacterized. The transcript has 3 exons. Lineage: Eukaryota; Metazoa; Arthropoda; Insecta; Hymenoptera; Braconidae. The record is from RefSeq and is a predicted model, not a curated record.